AUUGAACGCUGGCGGCAUGCCUUACACAUGCAAGUCGAACGGUAACAGGUCUUCGGAUGCUGACGAGUGGCGAACGGGUGAGUAAUACAUCGGAACGUGCCUAGUAGUGGGGGAUAACUACUCGAAAGAGUGGCUAAUACCGCAUGAGAUCUACGGAUGAAAGCAGGGGAUCGCAAGACCUUGUGCUACUAGAGCGGCCGAUGGCAGAUUAGGUAGUUGGUGGGAUAAAAGCUUACCAAGCCGACGAUCUGUAGCUGGUCUGAGAGGACGAUCAGCCAAACUUGGACUGAGACACGGCCCAGACUCCUACGGGAGGCAGCAGUGGGGAAUUUUGGACAAUGGGCGAAAGCCUGGUCCAGCAAUGCCGCGUGCAGGAUGAAGGCCUUCGGGUUGUAAACUGCUUUUGUACGGAACGAAAAGCCCCGGGUUAAUACCCUGGGGUCAUGACGGUACCGUAAGAAUAAGCACCGGCUAACUACGUGCCAGCCGCCGCGGUAA
Molecule: ribosomal RNA, 498 nt
Filed under: uncultured bacterium
Lineage: Bacteria
Description: partial 16S ribosomal RNA
Rfam family: Bacterial small subunit ribosomal RNA
Source: RNAcentral